GGGAUUGUAGUAUAGUGGUCAGUACUUCUCGUUGUGGUUCUUUGUUCACUCACUUUGAGUGACGAACACAACGAUCCGAGAGGACCCAGGUUCGAUUCCUGGCAAUCCCA
Molecule: transfer RNA, 110 nt
Filed under: Neurospora tetrasperma FGSC 2509
Lineage: Eukaryota; Fungi; Ascomycota; Sordariomycetes; Sordariales; Sordariaceae
Rfam family: tRNA
About the family: Transfer RNA (tRNA) molecules are approximately 80 nucleotides in length. Their secondary structure includes four short double-helical elements and three loops (D, anti-codon, and T loops).
Source: Rfam by way of RNAcentral